GACGAACGCUGGCGGCGUGCUUAACACAUGCAAGACGAACGAUGAAGCCGCUUCGGUAGUGGAUUAGUGGCGAACGGGUGAGUAACACGUGGGCAAUCUGCCCUGCACUCUGGGACAGGCCCUGGAAACGGGGUCUAAUACCGGAUACGACCAUCGGCCGCAUGGCCUGGUGGUGGAAAGCUCUGGUGGUGCAGGAUGAGCCCGCGGCCUAUCAGCUUGGUGGUGGGGUGAUGGCCUACCAAGGCGACGACGGGUAGCCGGCCUGAGAGGGCGACCGGCCACACUGGGACUGAGACACGGCCCAGACUCCUACGGGAGGCAGCAGUGGGGAAUAUUGCACAAUGGGCGCAAGCCUGAUGCAGCGACGCCGCGUGAGGGAUGACGGCCUUCGGGUUGUAAACCUCUUUCAGCAGGGAAGAAGCUUUCGGGUGACGGUACCUGCAGAAGAAGCACCGGCUAACUACGUGCCAGCAGCCGCCGUAA
This 483-nucleotide ribosomal RNA is filed under the name uncultured bacterium. RNAcentral describes it as "partial 16S ribosomal RNA". It matches the Rfam family "Bacterial small subunit ribosomal RNA", at positions 28 to 523 of the family's 1533-position model. The record is from RNAcentral.